RNAcentral lists this transfer RNA (37 nucleotides) under Bactrocera dorsalis (oriental fruit fly). Its description in RNAcentral is "partial tRNA-Asp". Lineage: Eukaryota; Metazoa; Arthropoda; Insecta; Diptera; Tephritidae. RNAcentral also lists the same sequence under 1 other name. The record is from RNAcentral.
AAAUUAGUUAAAAAAUAACAUUAGUAUGUCAAACUAA